UAGCAAAUAAGAGCCAAGAAGGACUUAAACCGGGUGCUAUUACGCAACCGGCAAGUCAUCCUUGGCUCAAAUAUACUA
This 78-nucleotide microRNA precursor is filed under the name Cajanus cajan (pigeon pea). Its description in RNAcentral is "miRNA gene-KK1_016835". Lineage: Eukaryota; Viridiplantae; Streptophyta; Magnoliopsida; Fabales; Fabaceae. The record is from RNAcentral.